GACGAACGCUGGCGGCGUGCUUAACACAUGCAAGUCGAACGGAAAGGCCCUGCUUUUGUGGGGUGCUCGAGUGGCGAACGGGUGAGUAACACGUGAGUAACCUGCCCUUGACUUUGGGAUAACUUCAGGAAACUGGGGCUAAUACCGGAUAGGAGCUCCUGCUGCAUGGUGGGGGUUGGAAAGUUUCGGCGGUUGGGGAUGGACUCGCGGCUUAUCAGCUUGUUGGUGGGGUAGUGGCUUACCAAGGCUUUGACGGGUAGCCGGCCUGAGAGGGUGACCGGCCACAUUGGGACGGAGAUGAGGCACAGACUCCUACGGGAGGCAGCAGUGGGGAAGAUUGCACAAUGGGCGGAAGCCUGAUGCAGCAACGCCGCGUGCGGGAUGACGGCCUUCGGGUUGUAAACCGCUGUCGCCUGUGACGAAGCGUGAGUGACGGUAAUGGGUAAAGAAGCACCGGCUAACUACGUG
RNAcentral lists this ribosomal RNA (468 nucleotides) under uncultured bacterium. RNAcentral describes it as "partial 16S ribosomal RNA". It matches the Rfam family "Bacterial small subunit ribosomal RNA", at positions 28 to 507 of the family's 1533-position model. The record is from RNAcentral.